Molecule: ribosomal RNA, 497 nt
Filed under: uncultured bacterium
Lineage: Bacteria
Description: bacterial SSU rRNA
Rfam family: Bacterial small subunit ribosomal RNA
Source: RNAcentral
ACUCAAAUGAAUAGACGGGGGCCCGCACAAGCAGUGGAGCAUGUGGUUUAAUUCGACGCGACCCGAAGAACCUUACCAGGUCUUGACAUCCUCUGACGGCAAUAGAGAUAUUGCUUUCCUUCGGGACAGAGAGACAGGUGGUGCAUGGUUGUCGUCAGCUCGUGUCGUGAGAUGUUGGGUUAAGUCCCGCAACGAGCGCAACCCUUGAUGUCGGUUGCCAGCAGGUAGAGCUGGGCACUCCGGCGUGACUGCCGUAGAUAAUACGGAGGAAGGCGGGGAUGACGUCAAAUCAUCAUGCCCUAUAUGACCUGGGCUACACACGUGCUACAAUGGGGUGAACAACGGGAAGCGAGUUGGCGACAACAAGCGGAUCCCUAAAAACACCUCUCAGUUCGGAUUGCAGGCUGCAACUCGCCUGCAUGAAGUCGGAAUUGCUAGUAAUCGCGGAUCAGCAAGCCGCGGUGAAUACGUUCCCGGGCCUUGUACACACCGCCCGU